UACGAAGGGGGCUAGCGUUGCUCGGAAUCACUGGGCGUAAAGGGUGCGUAGGCGGGUCUUUUAAGUCAGGGGUGAAAUCCUGGAGCUCAACUCCAGAACUGCCUUUGAUACUGGAGAGCUCGAGUCCGGGAGAGGUGAGUGGAACUGCGAGUGUAGAGGUGAAAUUCGUAGAUAUUCGCAAGAACACCAGUGGCGAAGGCGGCUCACUGGCCCGGUACUGACGCUGAGGUGCGAAAGCGUGGGGAGCAAACAGG
RNAcentral lists this ribosomal RNA (254 nucleotides) under uncultured bacterium. Its description in RNAcentral is "partial 16S ribosomal RNA". It matches the Rfam family "Bacterial small subunit ribosomal RNA", at positions 524 to 776 of the family's 1533-position model. The record is from RNAcentral.